Long non-coding RNA from Silurus meridionalis, 776 nucleotides. RefSeq lists it as uncharacterized. NCBI's taxonomy places the organism in Eukaryota, Metazoa, Chordata, Actinopteri, Siluriformes, Siluridae. The transcript is spliced from 2 exons. The record is from RefSeq and is a predicted model, not a curated record.
UCAGCAAUAAAUAAAUAAAUAAAUAAUAAAAAGAGUUUCUUUAUUACAAUCAGCUCUAUUUUUUAUUCAAGCCUGUAGGAAGUAGAAACAGUUUCGUUCAUUACAACAUACUGGAACUCGUGGUGAUUUAAAACAUGACCAGGUUUCUUCUUUUCUUUCAAAACAACAAACUUUCAGUGACAAAGUCUCCAAGUUCUGAAUUUGCUUCUUUUUUGUUUUUAUUCAUAUCUUUAUAAAGGGCUUUAACAUAGACAAGAGAGCAGACAAGAACAAAAAUGACCACAUAUUGACUUUUUGCACCUUCACUUUCUUCUACAGAUGAAGAAACUUCAAAGGUCUUUACAAUGUAAAGGGUAGGUGUGGGGAGUCACUACAGGGAUUCACUGGGCAGUGCAAAUAAAUAUGUAUAUUUAUAAUUAUGUGUUUAAGUUAAAAUAAUAAUAAACAGUUAUUUUGGGCUCAAAUAUUAACAGUGAAUUACAAAAAUUAGAUGACAAAACAAAAUUUUAUAUUGCUGUUGACUUCUUUUUAAAGGACUGGAGGUACUUUUGGAAAAAAAUCGAAAUCACGUAGCAUCUGCUGCCUGUAACUCCUGAUGCUACUCCCAAGAGAGCGAACAAACUGUCUGCUGCUGCAGGGAGGCACGAGGCGAUAGACAGCAUGCUGGAAAUGCACUUCUGUUCAUUUCAGUUUAGAGACCGUACAAGUGUGUGUGUGUGUGUGUGUGUGUGUGUGUGUGUGUGUGUGUGUGUGUGUGUGUGUGUGUGUGUGUGUGU